Brassica napus (rape) is the source of this 952-nucleotide long non-coding RNA. RefSeq lists it as uncharacterized. NCBI's taxonomy places the organism in Eukaryota, Viridiplantae, Streptophyta, Magnoliopsida, Brassicales, Brassicaceae. The transcript has 2 exons. The record is from RefSeq and is a predicted model, not a curated record.
UUAGCAAAGAAACAUCUAAUUUAAUUAAACCCUAAUGUGUAACUGAUUUUUACCCGGGAAGGAAAAAAUGAUGUGUAAAGUCAACAACUUUUACUGUCUUUAAUUUUGUUUCUGUCGGUGUAAAAGCUAAGAAAUCAGAUCAAGUUCAUCAUUUCUCUCUCUCUUCUUCGACUGACCGAUACAAUUUUUCUCUUCCCAAACUAUAUACAAAAUUAAUUGAUCUUCUAUAAUUUUUUGGAUUUCAAGACAUGCAUGAGGUUUCAGGAUUGAAUCGGAGGAAACUAAGGGUUAUAAUCUGAACCCUAAGCCUAAUAAUUGAUCUGCUCUUAAACGUUUAAAGAUUGUGUUACUAAUAGGGGUUUUUCAUCUGUUUGUUGAUCUUGAUAUACAAACCAUGUAGAUAAGACGCUGAUUUGAGAGAACCUUCAGAAUCAGGCUCUUCCAUGGUUUCGAUGGUAAAAAUUCUGAGAUAUAACAACGAAAUCAGUUAAGAUUGAUUGUCACGGAUGUUUCUCACACAUGCAUGAGCUUUGCUAUAUCGAUCUCCGUAAGGUUCAAGAUCAGACGCUGGAAAAUUCAAGAUCGAGUCAUAGAAAAUGAACUCUUCACAGUACCAAAAGCAAAUUCAAUCUCCGAAUUUAAAACUAAAGUUAACUUCUUAAGAAAAAAAUAGGUUUCUUAAAUUUUAGACUCAUAUUAUGAAAUAAUAAGAUUUUUUUUUAUGUUGCAGUUUAUGAACUGAAGAGAAGUAAAGACGAUCACCUAUACCAUGGUCCUAUUAGAGUUUUUGUAUUGUAAAUCUAGUAGUAGAUAACCCUUGGUUUAAUUAUAGUUAAAUUUUGAAUUAAGAGAUUGGUUUAGGUUUAAUAUAGGAUGUUGGUUUAAUUUAAGUUGUCCGGUUGUAUUUACUUUGUAGCGUCUAAUAAUAUACAAUCUAUCAACUUGAAAGGGU